UACGUAGGUGACAAGCGUUGUCCGGAUUUACUGGGCGUAAAGAGCGCGCAGGCGGUCGAUCAAGUCGAGUGUGAAAGCCCCCGGCUCAACUGGGGAGGGUCAUUCGAAACUGGUCGACUCGAAGGCAGGAGAGGGUAGUGGAAUUCCCGGUGUAGAGGUGAAAUUCGUAGAUAUCGGGAGGAACACCGGUGGCGAAGGCGCUCAUCUGGCCCGAUACUGACGCUGAGGCGCGAAAGCUAGGGGAGCAAACGGG
This 253-nucleotide ribosomal RNA is filed under the name uncultured bacterium. Its description in RNAcentral is "partial 16S ribosomal RNA". It matches the Rfam family "Bacterial small subunit ribosomal RNA", at positions 524 to 776 of the family's 1533-position model. The record is from RNAcentral.